RNAcentral lists this ribosomal RNA (497 nucleotides) under uncultured bacterium. RNAcentral describes it as "partial 16S ribosomal RNA". It matches the Rfam family "Bacterial small subunit ribosomal RNA", at positions 28 to 507 of the family's 1533-position model. The record is from RNAcentral.
GAUGAACGCUGGCGGCGUGCCCAAUACAUGCAAGUCGAGCGAACGGACGAGAAGCUUGCUUCUCUGAUGUUAGCGGCGGACGGGUGAGUAACACGUGGAUAACCUACCUAUAAGACUGGGAUAACUUCGGGAAACCGGAGCUAAUACCGGAUAAUAUUUUGAACCGCAUGGUUCAAAAGUGAAAGACGGUCUUGCUGUCACUUAUAGAUGGAUCCGCGCUGCAUUAGCUAGUUGGUAAGGUAACGGCUUACCGAGGCAACGAUGCAUAGCCGACCUGAGAGGGUGAUCGGCCACACUGGAACUGAGACACGGUCCAGACUCCUACGGGAGGCAGCAGUAGGGAAUCUUCCGCAAUGGGCGAAAGCCUGACGGAGCAACGCCGCGUGAGUGAUGAAGGUCUUCGGAUCGUAAAACUCUGUUAUUAGGGAAGAACAUAUGUGUAAGUAACUGUGCACAUCUUGACGGUACCUAAUCAGAAAGCCACGGCUAACUACGUG